RNAcentral lists this transfer RNA (57 nucleotides) under Arctica islandica. RNAcentral describes it as "tRNA-Gln". Lineage: Eukaryota; Metazoa; Mollusca; Bivalvia; Venerida; Arcticidae. The record is from RNAcentral.
AGCGAAACGGUGUAAGGGCACAGGAAGUUUUGGUCUUCAAGGGAGUUUAUUAUAUAG